This 468-nucleotide ribosomal RNA is filed under the name uncultured bacterium. RNAcentral describes it as "partial 16S ribosomal RNA". It matches the Rfam family "Bacterial small subunit ribosomal RNA", at positions 28 to 507 of the family's 1533-position model. The record is from RNAcentral.
GAUGAACGCUGGCGGCGUGCUUAACACAUGCAAGUCGAACGGAAAGGCCCAAGCUUGCUUGGGUACUCGAGUGGCGAACGGGUGAGUAACACGUGGGUGAUCUGCCCUGCACUUCGGGAUAAGCCUGGGAAACUGGGUCUAAUACCGGAUAGGACGAUGGUUUGGAUGCCAUUGUGGAAAGUUUUUUCGGUGUGGGAUGAGCUCGCGGCCUAUCAGCUUGUUGGUGGGGGAAUGGCCUACCAAGGCGUCGACGGGUAGCCGGCCUGAGAGGGUGUACGGCCACAUUGGGACUGAGAUACGGCCCAGACUCCUACGGGGGGCAGCAGUGGGGAAUAUUGCACAAUGGGCGCAAGCCUGAUGCAGCGACGCCGCGUGGGGGAUGACGGCCUUCGGGUUGUAAACUCCUUUCGCUAGGGACGAAGCGUUUUUGUGACGGUACCUGGAGAAGAAGCACCGGCUAACUACGUG